GUAGAAGGUGGAGUUGAGCAGCUCUUCCAGCCUGCGCGGAACGUCGUUCUCCCGGUAGUACUCCAUCGCCUGCUGCUUCAGCUUCUGCAGCUCCCUAGUGGUCCCACAGCUGCGGCCGCCGCCUUCUUCCUCCAUGAUGAAAACAUCUGAGACUCAGGGCUAAGCACCUUGCCCAAGGCCACACAACAAGUAGGUGAUGGAGAGUGUUGGCGUGUACGGAUUCUGUGGGUGUAAAGCAAAGAACAAAAUGAAGUGUGAUUCAAGGUGGGAAAUAGCCGCUUCAGCUCCCCCAGGCUGCAGCAGCUACCACACAAAGAAGCAGUCCUAUGGCAAUGACAGGACAUCUGUGUCCAGGAUUUGGAUUUGACGAACUGGCAGUUCCUGCAGGGAUGACGGUACUCCCUAGUUGUGUCUGAAUUGGACGCACCAGCACUUGAGCACACACAAAUGCACGUGAACAGACGGAACAUGUUAUGGGCCUGUUAGCCAAGGAAUGACAGAAUUAAUCCAUGGGCAUUUGCGGCCAGUGUUGUGUUAAACUAAAGGGAAAAAGUGAACUGGAAAAAGCAAUGUUUGUUUUAUGAAAAUCUCAGACCCAGUCCUUAAGUGACAGUUCUGGAAAUGAGGGGUGUCUAAAACAAAGGGCAUCUGAAACUUCGGUUUUUCAGCUUCCUUUCCUUGUCUCAUGACCUCUUUCCUACCCGCUGCCUCUGUUUUCUCUAAUAUGGAACAGUGAAAAUGGGGGCCAGCAAAACAGAUUGUUGAUGUCUGUUGAUUUUAUCAAAGGAAGGUUAGAUUAAGUAAGAUGGCAUAAAUAAGCACACAUAGGACAAUACCUGGCAUAUAUCAGGUGCUCAAUAGCAGUGAAUUCUCUCCCUGCUGUCAUGAAUUCUUGAAGGUUGGAGACCAUGCGCUGUUCUGCGUGCCAAGUUAUUUUUUCGGCCUGAUAGCAGGUGAGUUACUGAGUGAAGACAGAGACUGGAUGCUAAUUCAGCUCUGAAUCUUCAGCACCUGGCAUGGAAGGUGCACAGGACAUAUUUGAAAAAGGAGAAUUAAUAGAAUUGACCAAUAGGCUGACCUCCUGAAUGAUGACUGAGCAAAUUGAUCUAGAGGUAUUCAAAACAGUUUAGUUGACUGUCCCAAACUUUCUCAGACCUCUUCUGCCACUGACUUCCCUGAAAAGACCCUUUGCGGCCAGGCACGGUGGCUCAUGCCUGUAAUCCCAGGAUGUUGGGAGGCUGAGGUGGGCAGAUCAUGAGGUCAAGAGAUUGAGACCAUCCUGGCCAACGUGGUGAAACCUCGUCUCUACUAAAAGUACAAAAAUUAGCUGGGUGUGGUGGCACGUGCUUGUAGUCCCAGCUAGUUGGGAGGCUGAGGCAGGAGAAUCGCUUGAACAGGGGAGGCGGAGGUUGUAGUGAACCAAGAUCGUGUCACUGCACUCCAGCCUGGCAAUAGAGCGAGACUCUGUCUCAAAAAAAAAACCAAAAAAACAAAAACAACCCUUUUGCAUUUUUGUCCUAUCCUGUUUUCCUUCCCUUUGAGACCGUAUCACACGUUCUUUUUCCUCUUUGGUGACCUUCUUUGUCUUUCUUGCUGCUCCUGUACACUGUUGUUUACUCACACUGCUUUUAUUCUGAGCUCUCAUAUCUCUUCUAUUUCUGGUUCUGACGCCUAUCUUGUCUAUGCCUCGCACACUCACCUCCGACUCGGAGUCCUGACCUGCACAGCCGCGAUUGCGGUUUGCACACUUUGAGGGUGAACAGUUGUCAUGCAGCCCUUUUGAGUGCUAAAAAGUGACCACUUAAGAUUUUCCUCGUGGUUAGGAAGAUGAGUAUUUUAAAAUCAUUCUGGAGGAGAUUAGUGGUAAAGAAAACCUUCCUCAGCAACUAAAUCAUUGUGGAAAAAUAAGCCAAUUAGUCACUAAAACAAAAACCUUUUGAAGACUUGUGAACAGAGGAAAGAACAUGUGAAUGACAGGUUUUCUGUUUUGUGGCAUUGAUAGACUCCAGUAGUAUUCAUGAUCGCUGAUCAUCACGAUGGUGACCCCGGAAAGGUGAAAUUAUGUUCAGUUGAAUAUUACCUAACCCUUCUCAAAGGACAAUUUGAUUUUGUUAUUCCAUUGUUAAGGGCUUUUUGGUGGCCCUUCAAGAUCUGGCUCUGGCUUCUCUUUGACCUUGAACCCUCACUCUGGUUGUGCUGAUCUGCUGACCGUCCUCCAGACACGGUAGGGUGUUCCAUGCCACAGGGCCUUUGAACAAACCUUUCUUAUCCUUGGAAUAAAUGCCUUUUCUUCCUUUUGUUCCCCUGCCAAACACAUGCUAUUAGGAAAGAUUCAGCCCCAUGUCAUCACCUCCACAAAGCUUCUCCUGACACUUCCCAAGUUAGAUUGACCUUUUUCUCUUUUGUGCCCCCCACUGUCGAACUUGAUGUUCUUGUCAAUGACAACAAUAGUGGUAACAAUGAUGGUUUCCUUUCAUUGAGUGCCUUUUGGUUCCAGUAAGUGUAAGUGCUUUCACUUGUUAUAUCAUUUAAGCCCUGCCACCCUAUGAAGAGGCCACUAUUAUACAUACAGUCAUGCAUUGCUUUAUGACAGGGAUAUGUUCUGAGAAAUGCGUUAUUAGGCAAUUUCAUCAUUGUGUGAACAUCAUAGAAUGUACUUCCACAAACCUAGAUGAUAUAGCCUACCACACAACUAAGCUAUUAUAUGCAGGACAGUCUGCUGCUAGCUGCUUCUAAGCUACAGACCAUAUAUAUGUAUAUAUGUACAUAUCCUCUCCCUGCCCCUCUUGCUCUUUAUAUAUAUAUGCAUAUACCUAUAAUAUAUGCAUAUUUACAUAGGCUUUUAUAUAUAUAUUAUAUAUGUGUACAUAUAUACAUUUAUUUUUUGAGACAGGGUCUUGCUCUGUCUCCCAUGCUGGAGUGCAGUGGUAUGAUCACGGCUCACUGCAGCCAUGACCUCCCAGGCUCGAGGGAUCCUCCCAGCUCAGCCUCCCAAGUAGGUGAGACUACAGGCAUGCACCACCACAUCUGGCUAAUUUUUGAAUUUUUUUUGUAGAGAUGGGGUUUCACCAUGUUGCCCGGUUCUCAGACUCCUAGGCUCGAGUAAUCCACCCACCUUUGCUCCCAAAGUGGUGGGAUUAUAGGUGUGAGCCACCGCAACCAGCCCAUAUAUGCAUAUUUAAUAUACAUGUGUAGCAUAUACAUACACAUAUACACAUCUAUGCACAUAAAUUAACAAUAUGUAUAUAUGUGCAUAAAUUCACAUAUAUUUUCUGUAUAAAGACAGCAAGAGAGGCAGGCGGAGAAAGAAUCAGUUGCAGUCUGGAGGAAUAUACAUGUGUUACGUGGUUUCUCUGACUUUAAAUUCUCUGUUAAUGUGUAUUCCUUGUAAAGUAGAUGACAGCAUGUAUCUUGGCCUGCACGUUUCUGAAGACAAACCUCUAAGCUCUUAAAGUUCUGCCAUGGUGUGUCAUAGUACAUUGAAGUCAGAAAGCCCAUUAGAGGAGGAGGAUGCCUGGCUAGAAUAGUGUUCUUGAGUUUUUCCAUGUGUGUUGUCUCAGGUAGGAAGAUGAGAAGUCCUACUUUGUUCUUGUGUGAUUCCUCAUCAUUCGGUCCGUGGAGGCUGAGCUUGUUAAUGGUGGUGAACACGAGUUUCGUUCUUUGCCAGGAGUGCCCACCAGUGCCCAUAACGCCCUCCCGGAAUGUGCCGGGCAGUAUGUUUAGGGUAAGACUGACUAACGACCCAACACUGACAACGGCCUUAGCACAAACCCAAAAGGCUCUGCUAGAGCUCAGAGGCAGCCACGAGAUUGGGAGAGCUGGAUGACGGUUUGCUAAGAGAAUUCAAGCUGUCAGUCCUCCUGUGUAUCCUUUGGAUUCUGUUAUGCUGUUGCUUGUAGAGGGAAAAAGUUCAUGUGUCAUUUAUAUACAAGUGCCCAUUUGACAUUGAGUGAGUCACAUUUAUUUUACCCUAUAUGAACACAAAAUCUCUGUUUUAAAAUUAGAUUCUAGAACUUUAAAAGGGUUCUUACGUAUUGUUCUGAAGUAACUCGGUGGCUCUUGGUGAGCCCGCCCCACCUGGCCUGUUGGGUGACCCUCUUCCUGCCCCCUCACCGGUUCUGCUCCUUGUUCCUCUCUCUGUGCCUUGGCUCCCCUUCCCAGAGCCCUUCCUCUUGGUCUUGCCAAAUCCUGCCCAUCCUUUGAGAAACUCUUAUGCCCAUGGCUGUCUUACCCCUUCCUGCUUUGCUGUGGUAUCCAUUAGUCUGUUCUCGCGCUGCUAAUAAAGACAUACAAAAGACUGGGUAAUUUAUAAAGGAAAGAGGUUUAAUGGACUCACAUUUCCACAUGGCUGGGGAGGCCUCACAAUCAUGGUGGAAGAUGAAGAAAGAGCAAAGGGACUUUUUAUGUGGCGGCAGGAAGGAGAGCUUGUGCAGGGAAACUCCCAUUUAUAAAACUGUCAGAUCUCAUGAGACUUAUUCACUACCAUGGGAACAGUAUGGGGGAAACUGCCCCCAUGAUUCAAUUAUCUCCACCUGGCCCUGCCCUUGACACGUGGGGGUUAUUACAAUUCAAGGUGAGAUUUGGGUGGGGACACAGCCAAAAUAUAUCUGGCAUAUGCAAUCUGAUCACCCCUUCCAAACUUCUCUCUUAAAAAUGCAACACUCUGACAGCAUGUGGAGGCUUGGAUGGAAACACGGUAAAAAUUACAACAUUGUUUCUCACACUUUUGCACCAAAGUGAUACAAAUCGCAGAGCUGAGGCAACUGGUGUUUCUGCGAGAAUGGAAUGGAAUGUGGUUGAAAUUUUGUGUUGUUUUUUAAAUAUUUGCAACUAUUUGUUGUUCUUCCAUAAAAAUCAGAAUUCAUGGUUGUGUACAUAAAAGUAAUUUUCUAAAGUG
Molecule: small RNA, 4897 nt
Filed under: Pan troglodytes (chimpanzee)
Lineage: Eukaryota; Metazoa; Chordata; Mammalia; Primates; Hominidae
Description: processed transcript
Source: RNAcentral